GAUGAACGCUGGCGGCAGGCCUAAUACAUGCAAGUCGAGGGGCAGUUUUUUCUUCGGAAAAAAGCGACCGGCGGACGGGUGAGUAACGCGUACGCAACCUACCUUUUGGUGGGGGAUAGCCAUGGGAAACUGUGAUUAAUACCCCAUAUUAUAAUUGAAUGGCAUCAUUUAAUUAUGAAAGCUCCGGCGCCAAAAGAUGGGCAUGCGUGGCAUUAGCUAGUUGGUGAGGUAAAGGCUCACCAAGGCAACGAUGCCUAGCUGGUCUGAGAGGAUGAUCAGCCACACUGGGACUGAGACACGGCCCAG
Molecule: ribosomal RNA, 306 nt
Filed under: uncultured bacterium
Lineage: Bacteria
Description: bacterial SSU rRNA
Rfam family: Bacterial small subunit ribosomal RNA
Source: RNAcentral